AACGUCGUGAGACAGUUCGGUCCCUAUCUGCCGUGGGUGUAGGAUACUUGAGAGGAGUUGCCCCUAGUACGAGAGGACCGGGGUGAACGGACCACUGGUGGACCUGUUGUGGCGCCAGCCGCAGUGCAGGGUAGCUAUGUUCGGAAAGGAUAACCGCUGAAGGCAUCUAAGCGGGAAGCCCCCCUCAAAACAAGGUAUCCCUGAGGACCGUGGUAGACCACCACGUCGAUAGGCCAGAGAUGUAAGUGCAGCAAUGCAUUCAGUUGA
RNAcentral lists this ribosomal RNA (267 nucleotides) under Isochrysis galbana. RNAcentral describes it as "partial Bacterial large subunit ribosomal RNA". It matches the Rfam family "Bacterial large subunit ribosomal RNA", at positions 2615 to 2894 of the family's 2925-position model. The record is from RNAcentral. Lineage: Eukaryota; Haptophyta; Isochrysidales; Isochrysidaceae.